GAUGAACGCUGGCGGCGUGCCUAAUACAUGCAAGUCGAGCGAACAGACGAGGAGCUUGCUCCUCUGACGUUAGCGGCGGACGGGUGAGUAACACGUGGAUAACCUACCUAUAAGAAUGGGAUAACUUCGGGAAACCGGAGCUAAUACCGGAUAAUCUAUUGAACCGCAUGGUUCAAUAGUGAAAGACGGUUUUGCUGUCACUUAUAGAUGGAUCCGCGCCGCAUUAGCUAGUUGGUAAGGUAACGGCUUACCAAGGCGACGAUGCGUAGCCGACCUGAGAGGGGGAUCGGCCACACUGGAACUGAGACACGGUCCAGACUCCUACGGGAGGCAGCAGUAGGGAAUCUUCCGCAAUGGGCGAAAGCCUGACGGAGCAGCGCCGCGUGAGUGAUGAAGGUCUUCGGAUCGUAAAACUCUGUUAUUAGGGAAGAACAAAUGUGUAAGUAACUAUGCACGUCUUGACGGUACCUAAUCAGAAAGCCACGGCUAACUACGUG
Molecule: ribosomal RNA, 497 nt
Filed under: uncultured bacterium
Lineage: Bacteria
Description: partial 16S ribosomal RNA
Rfam family: Bacterial small subunit ribosomal RNA
Source: RNAcentral